RNAcentral lists this transfer RNA (72 nucleotides) under Camelus bactrianus (Bactrian camel). It matches the Rfam family "tRNA". From Rfam's summary of the family: Transfer RNA (tRNA) molecules are approximately 80 nucleotides in length. Their secondary structure includes four short double-helical elements and three loops (D, anti-codon, and T loops). The record is from Rfam by way of RNAcentral. RNAcentral also lists the same sequence under 2 other names. Lineage: Eukaryota; Metazoa; Chordata; Mammalia; Artiodactyla; Camelidae.
GAGGCUAUAGCUCGGUGGUAAAGUGCAUGCCUAGCAUGCACGAGGUCCCGGGUUCAAUCCCCAGUACCUGCA